This is a non-coding RNA of Myotis davidii, 78 nucleotides long. The record is from Rfam. NCBI's taxonomy places the organism in Eukaryota, Metazoa, Chordata, Mammalia, Chiroptera, Vespertilionidae.
AGCUGUUCUCAGGUGAUGCACCCCAAAACCAGAGAGGCGGGAGCCUGAUUUUCCAGGGUGCAUCACCUGAGAACCGCC